RNAcentral lists this ribosomal RNA (237 nucleotides) under uncultured bacterium. RNAcentral describes it as "partial 16S ribosomal RNA". It matches the Rfam family "Bacterial small subunit ribosomal RNA", at positions 118 to 351 of the family's 1533-position model. The record is from RNAcentral.
UGAGUAACCUGCCCUUAACUCUGGGAUAAGCCUGGGAAACUGGGUCUAAUACCGGAUAUGACUCCUCAUCGCAUGGUGGGGGGUGGAAAGCUUUAUUGUGGUUUUGGAUGGACUCGCGGCCUAUCAGCUUGUUGGUGAGGUAAUGGCUCACCAAGGCGACGACGGGUAGCCGGCUGAGAGGGUGACCGGCCACACGUGGGACUGAGACCACGGCCCAGACCUCCGUACGGGAGGCAG